Molecule: ribosomal RNA, 253 nt
Filed under: uncultured bacterium
Lineage: Bacteria
Description: partial 16S ribosomal RNA
Rfam family: Bacterial small subunit ribosomal RNA
Source: RNAcentral
UACGUAGGGUGCAAGCGUUAAUCGGAAUUACUGGGCGUAAAGCGUGCGCAGGCGGUUUUGUAAGUCUGUUGUGAAAUCCCCGGGCUCAACCUGGGAAUGGCAAUGGAUACUGGAUAGCUAGAGUGUGAUAGAGGAUGGUGGAAUUCCCGGUGUAGCGGUGAAAUGCGUAGAGAUCGGGAGGAACAUCAGUGGCGAAGGCGGCCAUCUGGAUCAACACUGACGCUGAGGCACGAAAGCCAGGGGAGCAAACGGG